RNAcentral lists this ribosomal RNA (208 nucleotides) under Escherichia coli. RNAcentral describes it as "partial 16S ribosomal RNA". It matches the Rfam family "Bacterial small subunit ribosomal RNA", at positions 1 to 215 of the family's 1533-position model. The record is from RNAcentral. Lineage: Bacteria; Pseudomonadati; Pseudomonadota; Gammaproteobacteria; Enterobacterales; Enterobacteriaceae.
AAAUUGAAGAGUUUGAUCAUGGCUCAGAUUGAACGCUGGCGGCAGGCCUAACACAUGCAAGUCGAACGGUAACAGAAAGCAGCUUGCUGCUUUGCUGACGAGUGGCGGACGGGUGAGUAAUGUCUGGGAAACUGCCUGAUGGAGGGGGAUAACUACUGGAAACGGUAGCUAAUACCGCAUAACGUCGCAAGACCAAAGAGGGGGACCU